CAACCCUCAGGCCCCCGGGCCUGGCGUUGGGGAUCGGCGGAGCCCUCUGUGGCACACGCCGUCCCCCAAAUACAGUGGCGGUCCCGCCGCAGCUUCCAAUGCGUAGUACCUAACGACGCAACUGGAGAGCGGCGCGGCCACGCCGUAAAACACCCAACUUUUAAA
RNAcentral lists this unclassified non-coding RNA (165 nucleotides) under uncultured Nectriaceae. Its description in RNAcentral is "sequence contains ITS2". Lineage: Eukaryota; Fungi; Ascomycota; Sordariomycetes; Hypocreales; Nectriaceae. The record is from RNAcentral.